GAUGAAGAACGCAGCGAAAUGCGAUAAGUAAUGUGAAUUGCAGAAUUCAGUGAAUCAUCGAAUCUUUGAACGCACAUUGCGCCCCCUGGUAUUCCGGGGGGCAUGCCUGUUCGAGCAUCAUUUCACCACUCAAGCCUCGCUUGGUAUUGGGCAACGCGGUCCGCCGCGUGCCUCAAAUCGACCGGCUGGGUCUUCUGUCCCCUAAGCGUUGUGGAAACUAUUCGCUAAAGGGUGUUCGGGAGGCUACGCCGUAAAACAACCCCAUUUCUAAGGUUGACCUCGGAUCAGGUAGGGAUACCCGCUGAACUUAAGCAUAUCAAUAAGCGGAGGA
This 331-nucleotide unclassified non-coding RNA is filed under the name soil metagenome. Its description in RNAcentral is "partial contains 5.8S ribosomal RNA, internal transcribed spacer 2, and large subunit ribosomal RNA". The stretch from base 1 to 120 matches the Rfam family "5.8S ribosomal RNA", at positions 35 to 154 of the family's 154-position model. The record is from RNAcentral.